This 441-nucleotide ribosomal RNA is filed under the name uncultured bacterium. Its description in RNAcentral is "partial 16S ribosomal RNA". It matches the Rfam family "Bacterial small subunit ribosomal RNA", at positions 338 to 795 of the family's 1533-position model. The record is from RNAcentral.
CCUACGUGAGGCUGCAGUGGGGAAUAUUGCACAAUGGGCGAAAGCCUGAUGCAGCGACGUCGCGUGAGUGAAGAAGUAUUUCUGUAUGUAAAGCUUUUUCAGCAGGGAAGAAAAUGACGGUACCUGACUAAGAAGCCAUGUCUAAUUUCGUGCCAGCAGCCGCGGUAAAACGUCGGGGGCAAGCGUUAUCUGGAUUUACUGGGCGUAAAGGGGGCGUAGGUGGCAUGGUUAGCCAGAAGUGAAAACUCAGGGGCCAACUCGGUGGAUUGCUUUUGGACCUAGCAAGCUAGAGUGUUGGUGGGGUAAGCGGAAUUCCUGGUGUAGCGGUGAAAUGCGUAGAUAUUAGGAGGAACACCGGUGGCGAAGGCGGCCUGCUGGACGAUAACUGACGGUGAGGCGCGAAAGCGUGGGGAGCAAACAGGAUUAGAUACCCUGGUAGUC